Molecule: long non-coding RNA, 4629 nt
Organism: Helicoverpa armigera (cotton bollworm)
Lineage: Eukaryota; Metazoa; Arthropoda; Insecta; Lepidoptera; Noctuidae
Exons: 2
Source: RefSeq, a predicted model, not a curated record
UUAAUUUAUUUAUUUAAAAUACUUUUUGCACAUUGUACAACGGCGGACUUAACGCCUGAGGCGUUCUCUGCCAGUCUACCUUUGGGUGGUGGUGAAAUAGAAGUGGUAGGUGCAACACAAUUUGAGCAUCAGUGGAAGAUAAUAAAAAUAUAUAUUUAUGCAUAUAUAAACAUAAUAUAUAUAUAUAUAUAACUAUAUAACUAUAUAUAUAUACAACUGUAUCCAGGAGUAUGUAGGAGAAGAUAGUAAGAAAAAUGAACUACUGUAAUGAUUCCGCCAACUUGCCAUGGAUGUGAUUUCGCAGUUUCAUUUUAAAAGUGUGUCGACUAUUUACCAUCCUGACCUCCAGAGGUAGCUCAUUCCAGAGAAGAAUAGAUUUCACAAAGAAGGAAGAGUGAAUAAUGUCUGAACGGUGAGCAGGGCAGUGAAGAAGACGAUUAUUAGAGGAGCGGAGAUUUUUGCUGUGCUGAGAACACACAUACUGAAAGUGAGAGGUUAAGUAGGAAGGUGAGGACGGGGUAUAAAGUAUAGAAAAAAGAGUAGUUAAUGCCCUCAUCACACGUCGUUGUCUUAUCGGUAGCCAUUUAAGUUGCGCUCGAUACGCUGACACAUGAUCGUACUUGCGAAGAUUAAAAACGAAUCGAAUGCAAUUAUUGAGAAGCCGGUCGAGUUUAUUGAGCAGAUCUGCAUUCAGGUCAUAGUAGCAAACAUCACCAUAGUCGAUUAUAGGAAAGAUUAAGGUUUGCAUAAGCAUUGCUUUUACAUGGAACGGGAGCAAGUUUUUGAAGCGAUAAAGAAACCGCAGUGUACUAGUGAUUUUUUGGCUGACAGCUGCAACUUGUGCUUGCCAAUUGAGUGAAGAGUCAAGAUGAAGGCCCAAAUUCUUCACUGAGCAGCUGAACGGUAUAUUUAUCCCGUCAAAUACCAAAGUUGGUAACCCAAGUGCGUCUACUUUACCUAAAUUUCUUGAGCUACCAAUGAUAAUAGCUUGGCAUUUAACAGGAUUGACUGCCACUCCGAACCUGUCAGACCAACUUUUGACUACCUCCAAGUCUUUGUUCAUUUUAACAAGCGCAGCUGCCAACUCAUUCACUUUUGUGUGACGAUACAACUGCAAGUCAUCGGCAUAGAGAUGAUAUGAACACUGAAGCUCAGGAGUAAGGAAAUUUAUAAAUAUGGAGAAUAACAGAGGUGAGAGUAUGCCGCCUUGAGGAACGCCAGCAUUCAAAGAACACCAGGCAGAUGAAUCCUCAUCCACCCGAACCGAUUGCUGGCGAUCAUGAAGAUAAGAGGAAAACCAGUCUGACGCCUUAGAAGAGACCAUAAGAUGUGAUAGAAUAGAUAAAAGGAUGUCGUGACUGACGGUAUUGAACGCAUUUGAAAAAUCCACGAGUACCAACACUGUGAGAUUAGCGUCUUCCAUAGCAAAUCUAAUAUCGCCAGUCACUUUGAGGAGGGCAGAAGAAGUGCUGUGGCCCGGCCUAAAUCCGGAUUGGAAAGGGCUCAGUAGCUCAUUGCCGUAGAUAAAACGAGCAAAUUGCUUAUGAGCACAAGCCUCAAGCACUUUGGAUAAGAAAGGUAGGAUAGAAAUUGGACGAAAGUGACUGGGGAGAGUAGGGCUGGAAAUUUUGGGAAGAGGACGCACGUAAGCUUUCCGCCAGAGUGAAGGGAAAACUCCAGAGUAGAACGAAAAGUUUACAAUAUGAGUGAUAACAGGAAGGAUUGGGACUAGGAUAUGGACAAUCAUCUGACGGCUGAUGUUAUCACACCCCACCGCCUUAGAUUUUAUGGACAGGAUAAUCUUUUUGACCUCUUCCUCGUCGACUGGCAUAAAAUCAAAAGAUUUGAUAUCGGGACGCGUUAGACCAUUUAUAUAAUUGAGAGUAUCUUGCUUCAUUAAAUAGUCCAAACGAGAGGAAGAAGAAGUGCAGAAAUAACUAUUUAAAGCAUCAAAACUAAUUGUGUUAGGCAGGUCCAAAUGUCGCGACUUGCCAAUACCCAGAGUUCCAAGAAACUUCCAGAUGUCAGCAGAAGACGAAGAUGAUAUAUUAUUCAAUAUAUGGCGGCGUUUAGCAUUACGUAUCAUCAUAUUACACCGAUUCCUCGCAGUCUUAAACAGAGCCCAGUUUUCAUCACUACGGUCUUUUUUAAAUUUACGGUACGCACGGUCCCGCCUGCGCAUUGCUAUACGUAUGAGUUCAGUCAUCCAUGGUGCUGGCGGCCGUUUCACUCUGACUCUUUUGACUGGUGCAUGGCGAUCAUAUAAAAUGUUCACCAUGUUAUUAAAAAUCAAAAUUUUAUGAUCCACAUCAUCGGAAGUCAUUAAUGGAGUCCAAUCAAUGUCUAGCGCAUCCUUGAACAACCGCUCAGCAUCCAUCCUUGCAAAGCAACGCCUAUGCAAAAUCUUAGGCUUGGGCUUAGGUGGUUUAAGGAUAUAGGAGAGGAAAAUGAGGUCGUGGUGAGAAAAACCAGGGGCGGUAUAUUGACCGUGACAGGAAAUAAGGGAGAGGUUAGACGUCAGAAUUAAGUCCAGCCAGGAAUCAUCACCAAUCGUAGACCGGUGAGUAGCCUGAAGAGGUAAAAUAUGCAAGCUGGAUGACUCCAAAACGUGCAAGAGUUUACGGGUACGAGGAGAGUUGGGAGCAAGGAGAUUUGUAUUAAAAUCACCCAUGAUGAUGUAAUGAGCAUACUCAGAACCUAACGAUUCUAAAACCGAUUCCAAAUCAGUGAAGUAGUCGACAGAGGGGGGGCAAUAAACAACACCAACGACGGCUUUCGCUCCUUUAACUGAAACCUCCAAAAAGAGAAAUUCAGCACUAGGCAUAGAACUAGAAGAAGUAGCCAAGAUCUUAUAAGGAAAGUCCGAUCGAAGGUAUAUUGCCACGCCUCCCCCUCUUCUCCCAAGUCGAUCAUUCCGAAUAAGAACGAAGCCAGGAAGAGGGUAAGAUGUGGAUAAGAGAUUUGGUUUGAGCCAGGUCUCGGAAAUCAGGACGGCAUGCACAUUGCUGUUGGAAAAAGUCUCGCAUAGUUCACUAUAGUGACUAGGAACACUUUGAGCGUUAAUAUGACACACAUUUAACACUUUAACUGUUUGUUUGAAUUGAUUUCUCAAUGUAUCCCCAAGUGUAUCAGUCAGAGAACAGAAACUAACAUCACUAUUACUCACAUCCAAAGACUCAUUAGCAGAAUGAAAACAGUCGUCAUCAGAAGACAUAAAUCCUAAAUAUAUAGAUAAAAAAUAAAUAAAAAUAUAUAACUAUAAAAAUAAAAAUAAUUAGCAAUUUUAAAAACAAAGACAACAACAGAAUUUACCUCCACCCGCCAGCUAACACCAAUAAAUAAUUAGAAUCAGCAACAUAAAACAAAAAUAAAAACGUAGUUGACAUCCAUAAGAAAUGAAAAACGAUACAAAAAUAAAUAAAAGAAGAAUGAAACUAUUUCUGGACGAAACAUUGACUGACAUUUUAGUAAUGUGACAGCUGACAAUGACAUUUCGACAAAUAAAAGUAAAGUAACCAAGAAUAGAAGUUAAGCUAUCCAAACGUUAAUUAAUUCUUAAUCUAUUUGCGGGUAAUUAACAAAUUGAAAUAGAAAUAACAAAGUUAUUAUAAAUUUAACAAAAUUUGUUAAGGAAAAAAAGGAUAAAACAUUCCAAAGAGAAAAAUAAAUAAAAUAAGAACAUUAGAUUACGAAAAUAAAAUAUCAAAAUAAACAAUAAGUCCUCUCAAGAAGUUAUGCAGCAUUUGUUUUUGAAGGAUACUUCUCCAGGAGAGGCUUUAGCUCAUCCAUCGACACAAUCCUGUGGCGGCUGCCAUCCGAUGCCUUAAUGACUAUCAUGCCAUCCUGUGUCCAACAAGCACGCAUACCGAAAUGCAGCCGUGCCUUCGCGAAGAUGGACUGCCUGGCUUUCGUCAGGAACUCCUUGACUGAGACUUUGGUGCCUCUCAACCUAGUCUUAGCCCUCCAAACAGUUGACUUGACAUCCCAAGAAGCAAACCUCACAAGAAUGGGCCGUGCAUGAUCCUUACUAGGACUGCCAAGUCGGUGGGCAACUUUUAUGCUGGGUGCUGCUAUGUCCUUUAGACCCAAUUUGCUGCUGAGGACACCAAGGACCAUGGAAAGGCAGUCCUCAUUCUCUUCUUCAGGAAGCCCUUGAAAGAUCAAUGCCUUUCGACGGUGCCUCAUCUCCAACCCAUCAAUGUGCAGCACACACUCGGCUAUCUGCUUCCUGAGUAAACCCAACACGUUGAAGAUAAGCUCCCUGAAGGCCCGGAACUCCUCAGCAAUUUUAGCGACGGUUUCCUUGGCAGGUCCUGCAGCCUGAAUUUGAGCUCCGAGUUGGUCCAUCUUCUGACUGAAACUCUCCUCAAGACUUCUCUGUAUCGACAGUAUUUCUGAUAACUGUGACAUCUUCCUUAUAUUGUUUAUAGUGACUUUGUAAAUAUGUUAAUAUUAUUCUAUGUGCAAGUGUUGAUGGUGAUGUGGCAGGUGGUGUUAAGUACUUCAAUCAGGUUACAUUUAAGGCUCCUAAUGUAAGUACCCAAUAAUUAGGUUGUAUAAUAAAACUUUUACUAAAAAUAAUUUAAAAAACUGAAUUAAAUAUAUUUUUAAAAGGCUCAGAGAAUCUGA